Molecule: long non-coding RNA, 199 nt
Organism: Chenopodium quinoa (quinoa)
Lineage: Eukaryota; Viridiplantae; Streptophyta; Magnoliopsida; Caryophyllales; Amaranthaceae
Exons: 3
Source: RefSeq, a predicted model, not a curated record
UGAUUCAGCUCGAUCAACAAAGAAGUACCUCGUGAUAAGAUACAUGGUCGUGCUCCACGGGGUCCUACAUGGAAAUCACCUAUGUUCCCACAACAAGAUAAUGGAGUUGAUUGUGGAUUAUACGUGAUGAGAUUCAUGCUUGACAUAGCGACUCAUUGUACCAACACCAUACAUCUUGAUGAGGUACGACCUUAAACUU